GAUGAAGAACGUAGCGAAGUGCGAUAAGUAGUGUGAAUUGCAGAAUUCCGUGGAUCAUCGAAUUUUUGAACGCAAAUUGCACUCUCUGGUAUUCCGGAGAGUAUGCCUGUUUGAGGGUCAUUAAAAUCAAAAUCGAUUUGUUUACUUUGGUAACUUGGUAACAUUUUCGGAAUUGGGUCAUCUUAAACCUUCAGGUUCAAGAGGCUUAAAAUUGAUCAUUUUUGGUAUGAAUUUAAGCGUAUUUAAGAUCUCUUAUCACGCGCUUGACUCCUAUCGGAUGUUUAUUAGGCGUGACCAUGAUCAUGGUUUCGCGCCCAUAAUCUUUCCAUGAAAUGACCUCAAAUCAGGUAGGAAUACCCGCUGAACUUAAGCAUAUCAAUAAGCGGAGGA
RNAcentral lists this unclassified non-coding RNA (390 nucleotides) under soil metagenome. RNAcentral's name for it is "partial contains 5.8S ribosomal RNA, internal transcribed spacer 2, and large subunit ribosomal RNA". The stretch from base 1 to 120 matches the Rfam family "5.8S ribosomal RNA", at positions 35 to 154 of the family's 154-position model. The record is from RNAcentral.